RNAcentral lists this ribosomal RNA (301 nucleotides) under uncultured bacterium. Its description in RNAcentral is "partial 16S ribosomal RNA". It matches the Rfam family "Bacterial small subunit ribosomal RNA", at positions 509 to 807 of the family's 1533-position model. The record is from RNAcentral.
CAGCCGCCGCGGGAAUACGUAGGGUGCAAGCGUUAAUCGGAAUUACUGGGCGUAAAGCGUGCGCAGGCGGUUUUGUAAGACAGAGGUGAAAUCCCCGGGCUCAACCUGGGAACUGCCUUUGUGACUGCAAGGCUAGAGUACGGCAGAGGGGGAUGGAAUUCCGCGUGUAGCAGUGAAAUGCGUAGAUAUGCGGAGGAACACCGAUGGCGAAGGCAAUCCCCUGGGCCUGUACUGACGCUCAUGCACGAAAGCGUGGGGAGCAAACAGGAUUAGAUACCCCAGUAGUCCCUGUCUCUUAUAC